Molecule: long non-coding RNA, 2163 nt
Filed under: Nicotiana tabacum (common tobacco)
Lineage: Eukaryota; Viridiplantae; Streptophyta; Magnoliopsida; Solanales; Solanaceae
Description: long non-coding RNA (NTAB_LNC010996)
Source: RNAcentral
AUGUCUUUAAAAGUAAUUCUCCCCAUGGCUCUUUCGUCUCACAAUUCAUCUUCUCCAUUGAUGACAGGUUCGGUAUUUUACUACUCCUUCACCAGACAAUUCAUCUUCUUUUUUUCCUUUUCUUACCCAGUUUUUGUGCUUUGGCACAUAUAACCGAUGAAUACUUUACAGAAAGAAAUUUUAAUUUGGUUUAAUAUAUACCACAAUUUCGAAGAACGACAAACGAAAAGGAAGUUCAUAUUGAGAGUUUCAUGUGGAGAUUCUGAGUCAUUCCAACACAAUUAAUUCUGAAUAACAACAUACGAAGCGGAAGUUCAACAAUGAGAGUAUUUCGUGUGGAGGUUGCGUGUUAUUCCAACUGUAGGCAUAAAUACUCCCAUGUUGGUAGUGACAAAUAUUGGUAUUGGUUCUGACCUUGGUAGAUGGUUGGUUGUUAUCUUGCUAUCAAAGAUUUUCUUUUUAGGUUGAAAGUUGAGUAUGGAAAGAACGCUAUAGAGAUUCAACAAAUUAACCAUCUAAGGCCUCAAGCCAAACAAUCACAAUGCUUCAUUUUUAACGAAACCUGUAAGGCUCCUUCACGGGUAAAUCACAAUGGUCAUGUAGGUAUGUCUUUUUUUAAUCAAUGUCAUAUAACUUUAUUUUCUUACCUAAAUAUGAUAAAACCGUCACUAAUUCACACAAAAUUAUAGUGAUCGGAAAACAUAAUUUUCCUGUAAUAUUUUCUUAUUCCACAUUUUUUCAUUUUUUAUUUCUAUUCUAAUAAAUAAUAAUCCAAUUAAAAUAGGAGAAAUAUAUAUUUUUAGUCACCCCAAAAAAUAAUAACCAAUAAAAUAUAUAAUUUUAGAUAUAUGUGUAAUUGUGUAUUAUAGAUGUAUAAUAUACUUAUUUUAUAUAUUAUUUGACCAGUGAAUGCAAUUAGUUUCACACGAUCAGUCAAUUUUAUAUUUUUCCCUUAAAAUAGGAAUGACCCAAACCAACCUGAGCCAAUAUCCAUAUACAUAUAUUAAAAUAAUACUAAAAGUGAAUCAUUUUCCCACGGAAAACUUAGUUUGGAUGCAUGAGAUCCUCACAAAAAAAAAAAGAAACAAAGAAUAAAAGGUAUAAUUAGAGAGCACUUGAAAAACAAUUACUAUCAAUUUGAAUGAAAAUCUUGAAAAGAAAAUAAAAAAUAGAAGUAUCGUGUUUUGAAGGAUUCACUUUUAGUAUUAUUUUAAUUUAUAUAUAUAUGGGCAUUAGAUCGGUCGGGUCGGGGUUAGGUCAUUUCUAUUUAAAUUGAAUUAUUAUUUAUUAGACAGAAAAUAAAAGACAAAAAAUUAUGGAAUAAGAAAAUACUACUGAAAAAUUAUAUUUUUAGGCCAUUAUGAUUUUUGCGUGAAAAAAUAUAGUUAUACGACCAUUUAUGAAAUUUACCCGCUCCUCCGCAGGAGCAGAAAUUCUCACAACCACUCCUUAAACGGACAGCGAAUUAGGUGAUGUAUUACACCAAGGUAUGAAAAGACUUUAUAUUCACUGAAUUGGUGAAACGGUAGUUUUCUCUCUGCUCCGAAUAGAAACGGAGAAGCAGAACCGUGUGACUUAUGUAUUUACAGUUAUUUGGUGUUUUGAAAUUCACACGAAUCCCACCACUUGCUUCUUCUUUCUAACCAAAUUACUUUGUGUGGAUUCUUGAAAUUAGAAACUAAUUGAUUGAUGAUUUCCCUUUAGAUCUCUCUUCGAAACUGAUUUCUUAUGGUGGCUUUAUUCAAUUACAGGUGGAUGUAGGGGCGGAUGCGCGUUUACCCAAGUGGUGUCAUCCGACUCCGCAUAGUCGAAUAAAUUUACUAUAUAAAUAUAUAUGCACACAAAAAAAAGUUCAGUCUUCGGUUCAUAUUUCGUCGAUCAAUCCUACCUAAUUCACAUCUUUGUUGAAAGAAUUUAUUUUGUAAUUCCUAAGGGUGUUAACCGGACGGGCUAGACCGGGAUAGAUAUGGAAAAAAACAGCUCGUCCGGUUAGUGGGGCGGGCCGGUUAGUGGGCUGGGAUAUUCCGGAUUUUGGUGGGCAUGUCCGGGUUUGGGCUUAUCGAGUCCGGGCCGGGCCGGGUUAAUUAUUUUUUUUAAAAGUGUAUUAUGUUUCCUUGUUCAAUGUAAUUGUUACUUAAGUGUUUGCAAACUUUUAAAUAAUAA